RNAcentral lists this small nuclear RNA (106 nucleotides) under Zalophus californianus (California sea lion). The record is from RNAcentral. Lineage: Eukaryota; Metazoa; Chordata; Mammalia; Carnivora; Otariidae.
GUGCUGGCUUCAGCAGCACAUAUACUAAAAUGGGAGUGAUAACAGAAGAUUAGCAUGGCUCCCACCCAAGGAUGGGUAGUAUUUGACAGCAAAUAUUUACUUGUAA